Molecule: ribosomal RNA, 253 nt
Filed under: uncultured bacterium
Lineage: Bacteria
Description: partial 16S ribosomal RNA
Rfam family: Bacterial small subunit ribosomal RNA
Source: RNAcentral
UACAGAGGUCCCAAGCGUUGUUCGGAUUCACUGGGCGUAAAGGGUGCGUAGGUGGUCAGGUAAGCCUGAUGUGAAAGCUCUGGGCUCAACCCAGAAAUGGCAUUGGAUACUAUCUGGCUAGAGGAAUGGAGGGGGGACUGGAAUACCUGGUGUAGCAGUGAAAUGCGUAGAUAUCAAGUGGAACACCAGUGGCGAAGGCGAGUCUCUGGGCAAUAACUGACGCUGAGGAGCGAAAGCGUGGGGAGCGAACAGG